Molecule: unclassified non-coding RNA, 161 nt
Filed under: soil metagenome
Description: partial internal transcribed spacer 1
Source: RNAcentral
CAGAGUUGCAAGACUCCCUAAACCAUUGUGAACCUACCUUCUACCGUUGCUAUCGGCGGGCGGGCCCAGCGCCCCCCCGGCCCCCCGCGGGCGCCCGUCCGGAGGAUACCCAAACUCUUGACAUUAGUGGCCUCUCUGAGUAUUCUUUACUGAAUAAGUCA